Molecule: long non-coding RNA, 190 nt
Filed under: Dasypus novemcinctus (nine-banded armadillo)
Lineage: Eukaryota; Metazoa; Chordata; Mammalia; Cingulata; Dasypodidae
Description: lncRNA (ENSDNOG00000050480.1)
Source: RNAcentral
GCCAUGGUAAGGAGCCCAGGGAUUGCCUCUGUGUUAGGAGUGUGGAGACCAAUUUCUUGUACUCCUCAGAGUGGACAUACACCUGAACCGAUUUAAGCUUCAGCCAGGUCCUGAAUCUUACGUUUUGGGAGCAUAGAGAUACAAUGUGAGUAAUAGUCAAAAUUCUUACCUGGGUUUCGGUGCUUCAUUU